Small nuclear RNA from Bison bison bison, 107 nucleotides. The record is from Ensembl. Lineage: Eukaryota; Metazoa; Chordata; Mammalia; Artiodactyla; Bovidae.
GUACUUCCUUCGGCAGCAUAUAUACUAAAAUUGGAAUGACACAGAGAAGAAUAACAUGGCCCCUAUGCAAGGAUGACAUAUAAAUUUGUGAAGCAUUCCAUAUUUUU